CAGCGACUUAUAUUCUGUAGCAAGGUUAACCGAAUAGGGGAGCCGAAGGGAAACCGAGUCUUAACUGGGCGUUAAGUUGCAGGGUAUAGACCCGAAACCCGGUGAUCUAGCCAUGGGCAGGUUGAAGGUUGGGUAACACUAACUGGAGGACCGAACCGACUAAUGUUGAAAAAUUAGCGGAUGACUUGUGGCUGGGGGUGAAAGGCCAAUCAAACCGGGAGAUAGCUGGUUCUCCCCGAAAGCUAUUUAGGUAGCGCCUCGUGAAUUCAUCUCCGGGGGUAGAGCACUGUUUCGGCAAGGGGG
This 303-nucleotide ribosomal RNA is filed under the name Escherichia coli. RNAcentral describes it as "partial 23S ribosomal RNA". It matches the Rfam family "Bacterial large subunit ribosomal RNA", at positions 621 to 926 of the family's 2925-position model. The record is from RNAcentral. Lineage: Bacteria; Pseudomonadati; Pseudomonadota; Gammaproteobacteria; Enterobacterales; Enterobacteriaceae.